This 497-nucleotide ribosomal RNA is filed under the name uncultured bacterium. RNAcentral's name for it is "partial 16S ribosomal RNA". It matches the Rfam family "Bacterial small subunit ribosomal RNA", at positions 28 to 507 of the family's 1533-position model. The record is from RNAcentral.
GAUGAACGCUGGCGGCGUGCCUAAUACAUGCAAGUCGAGCGAACGGACGAGAAGCUUGCUUCUCUGAUGUUAGCGGCGGACGGGUGAGUAACACGUGGAUAACCUACCUAUAAGACUGGGAUAACUUCGGGAAACCGGAGCUAAUACCGGAUAAUAUUUUGAACCGCAGGGUUCAAAAGUGAAAGACGGUCUUGCUGUCACUUAUAGAUGGAUCCGCGCUGCAUUAGCUAGUUGGUAAGGUAACGGCUUACCAAGGCAACGAUGCAUAGCCGACCUGAGAGGGUGAUCGGCCACACUGGAACUGAGACACGGUCCAGACUCCUACGGGAGGCAGCAGUAGGGAAUCUUCCGCAAUGGGCGAAAGCCUGACGGAGCAACGGCGCGUGAGUGAUGAAGGUCUUCGGAUCGUAAAACUCUGUUAUUAGGGAAGAACAUAUGUGUAAGUAACUGUGCACAGCUUGACGGUACCUAAUCAGAAAGCCACGGCUAACUACGUG